This 1560-nucleotide long non-coding RNA is filed under the name Salarias fasciatus (jewelled blenny). Its description in RNAcentral is "lncRNA (ENSSFAG00005000689.1)". Lineage: Eukaryota; Metazoa; Chordata; Actinopteri; Blenniiformes; Blenniidae. The record is from RNAcentral.
CCAGAAGAGUAAGUGGGACAGCUCGCGGUCGCUACGCUACAACCAGGACGCUCAGAGAGAGGAAGGUACGGCACGGUGUAGCACAGGAGCUGGUCCUCAUCCCGAGGGGCACGUCCACCAGUGUGUGUGUGUGUGUGUGUGUGUGUGUACGAGCAGACCAGCGCCGCAUGGUGGAGAUCAUCGGCCACCUGACCAAGAUGAGGUUCGGAGAGCAGGAGCAGAGCCGGUCCAAAGACACCAAGGAGGUAACGAGAGUGAAGAGGUCUCUGUGGUCUCUUAUCACCUGGAGGGUGUUUAUCCACACUGUGUGUGUGUGUGUGUGUGUGUGUGUGUGUGUGUGUGUGUGUGUGUAUCUGCGUCUGCUCUCAGCCUGUAGGUGGAAUCUACUCCAGACUGGAAGCUCAGUUCAAGAGCUCGUCUCAAACCCGACAGACUGCAGAGAAAACACCCAGAUCUAAAGUCCGCUAUGCUCAGAUCAGAACCACGUAGAGCUUGAGAUGUGAAGUGAAGAUCUUCGGUCUGCAGAGAGGAGGAACUCCGUCAGCAGCAUGCCUCCUCCUCCUCCUCCUCCUCCUCCUCCGCUCCACUCAGGUGACCAUGUCCGAUCACCGUCAGCUGCUUCCUCCGUCUCUCAGCCCGCCGUGGAGACUUCUGGGAGUUUCUCCUCAGGACGAUGUGAGAAGUCCAGCUCAUCUCUGCCGGGUGUGAAGAGGGUCGGACGACAGAUGGACAGAAAAACUCCAUGAUUUAUCACUAAAAGAACAAAACAAAAGAAACCAGCUUGAAAUCCAAACAAAUGUGAAGCAAAUUAUUACUGAGAAACACAGAAACAUCCUGGAAACAGAAUAAAACUGAAGUCUGAGAAGAAAGAUUGCAUGAACGAAAGAAAGUGAAUAAAUUUAAGAGUAAAACUAUGAGAAAUUAAAGAAAAAAAAUAACCUUAAAACGUGAUUUUAAAACAUGUACAUGUUUUAAAGUUAUAAUUUUGAGUUGAUUCAGUUGGCUUGAGGCAAAAAUAAGUCUGAGUUACAUUUAAAAUAAUAAUAAGGAUAAAAUACUGAAAUAUUACCUGGAAAUCUGGUUCAGGAGGUUAAUUAGAAAAAAACUGAGUGUGAAAAACUUAAAACUGAUUUUAUGAUUGUAAAAUCAACCUUUUGGAUUAAAGCUAGAAAACAAAAGUCUUUAAGAAGUAUUGUGAUAAAUUUCAACAUUGGAGUUGACAGUUUCAGUAGUAACAAAAGUAGAUUCGAAAAAUGAGUAAUAUUUCAAUGAAAACAUGAAGUCAUGUAUCAAUCAAUAAAUCCAAGCUUUAGACUCAAUUUGAGAUUAAAAAUUAAAUGUGACCUGAACGUAUUUCAUGAGAAACUGGAUCAAUAUGCAGUAUUUUAAAUGAGCAAACAGUAGAAGAUCCAGUGUUUAAAAAGACUGAUGAACCUGAACGAGCUGCGUCACGACACAGAGAAUGAAAAGUCUGGAUUCUGAGGUUGUUGUGUUUUUUUUUUUUUUUUUCCUCCGGAUGCUUCUGUUUGAGCUCCUCCAGUUAACCUGCUGAUACUAACC